Molecule: small RNA, 25 nt
Filed under: Arabidopsis thaliana (thale cress)
Lineage: Eukaryota; Viridiplantae; Streptophyta; Magnoliopsida; Brassicales; Brassicaceae
Description: ATSL136100
Source: RNAcentral
GUUGUAAUGACAGUCACUGCUUUGU